AGCCCAGACUCCUACGGGAGGCAGCAGUGAGGAAUAUUGGUCAAUGGGCGGGAGCCUGAACCAGCCAAGUCGCGUGAGGGAAGACGGUCCUACGGAUUGUAAACCUCUUUUGCCGGGGAGCAACGGGGUCCUUGCGAGGGCCCGAUGAGAGUACCCGGAGAAAAAGCAUCGGCUAACUCCGUGCCAGCAGCCGCGGUAAUACGGAGGAUGCGAGCGUUAUCCGGAUUUAUUGGGUUUAAAGGGUGCGUAGGCGGGCUUUUAAGUCAGCGGUAAAAAUUCGGGGCUCAACCCCGUCCGGCCGUUGAAACUGGGGGCCUUGAGUGGGCGAGAAGAAGGCGGAAUGCGUGGUGUAGCGGUGAAAUGCAUAGAUAUCACGCAGAACUCCGAUUGCGAAGGCAGCAUACCGGCGCGCAACUGACGCUGAAGCACGAAAGCGUGGGUAUCGAACAGGAUUAGAUACCCCAGUUAA
Molecule: ribosomal RNA, 469 nt
Filed under: uncultured bacterium
Lineage: Bacteria
Description: bacterial SSU rRNA
Rfam family: Bacterial small subunit ribosomal RNA
Source: RNAcentral